Molecule: ribosomal RNA, 365 nt
Filed under: uncultured bacterium
Lineage: Bacteria
Description: bacterial SSU rRNA
Rfam family: Bacterial small subunit ribosomal RNA
Source: RNAcentral
GAGGAACACGUAAGAAUCUGCCCCUCGGUCGGGGACAACUCUUGGAAACGAGAGCUAAUACCCGAUACGCUGUGGAGUGAAAGAAUUUCGCCGAGGGAUGAUCUUGCGUCUGAUUAGCUAGUUGGUGUGGUAAUGGCACACCAAGGCGACGAUCAGUAGCUGGUCUGAGAGGAUGGACAGCCACAUUGGAACUGAGACACGGUCCAAACUCCUACGGGAGGCAGCAGUGGGGAAUUUUCCGCAAUGGACGCAAGUCUGACGGAGCGACGCUGCGUGAAGGAUGACGGCCCGCGGGUUGUAAACUUCUUUUCUCGAAGAAGAAACAAAUGACGGUAUUCGAGGAAUAAGCAUCGGCUAACUCCGUG